This 373-nucleotide ribosomal RNA is filed under the name uncultured bacterium. Its description in RNAcentral is "bacterial SSU rRNA". It matches the Rfam family "Bacterial small subunit ribosomal RNA", at positions 523 to 898 of the family's 1533-position model. The record is from RNAcentral.
AUACGGAGGAUCCAAGCGUUAUCCGGAUUUAUUGGGUUUAAAGGGUGCGUAGGCGGCCUAUUAAGUCAGGGGUGAAAGACGGUAGCUUAACUAUCGCAGUGCCUUUGAUACUGAUAGGCUUGAAUGCACUUGAGGUAGGCGGAAUGUGACAAGUAGCGGUGAAAUGCAUAGAUAUGUCACAGAACACCAAUUGCGAAGGCAGCUUACUAAAGUGAGAUUGACGCUGAGGCACGAAAGCGUGGGGAUCAAACAGGAUUAGAUACCCUGGUAGUCUACGCCCUAAACGAUGAAUACUCGAUGUUGGCGAUAUACGGUCAGCGUCUAAGCGAAAGCGUUAAGUAUUCCACCUGGGGAGUACGCCCGCAAGGGUGAA